Molecule: ribosomal RNA, 617 nt
Filed under: uncultured marine eukaryote
Lineage: Eukaryota
Description: SSU rRNA
Rfam family: Eukaryotic small subunit ribosomal RNA
Source: RNAcentral
AGUUAAAACGCUCGUAGUCGGAUUUCGGGGCGGGUCCGCCGGUCUGCCGAUGGGUACGCACUGGCGGUCGCGUCCUUCCUUCCGGAGACUGGCCCUACUCUUAGCUGAGCGGGGUCGGGAGUCGGAAAGUUUACUUUGAAAAAAUCAGAGUGUUUCAAGCAGGCAGCUCGCUCUUGCAUGGAUUAGCAUGGGAUAAUGAAAUAGGACUUUGGUGCUAUUUUGUUGGUUUCGAACACCGAAGUAAUGAUUAACAGGGACAGUCAGGGGCACUCGUAUUCCGCCGAGAGAGGUGAAAUUCUCAGACCAGCGGAAGACGAACCACUGCGAAAGCAUUUGCCAGGGAUGUUUUCACUGAUCAAGAACGAAAGUUAGGGGAUCGAAGACGAUCAGAUACCGUCGUAGUCUUAACCAUAAACCAUGCCGACUAGGGAUUGGGGGAAGUCCUUUUUGACUCCCUCAGCACCUUAAGGGAAACUAUAGUUUUUGGGUUCCGGGGGGAGUAUGGUCGCAAGGCUGAAACUUAAAGGAAUUGACGGAAGGGCUCCACCAGGAGUGGAGCCUGCGGCUUAAUUUGACUCAACACGGGGAAACUUACCAGGUCCAGACAUUGUGAGGAU